GACGAACGCUGGCGGCGUGCUUAACACAUGCAAGUCGAACGGAAAGGCCCUGCUUUUGUGGGGUGCUCGAGUGGCGAACGGGUGAGUAACACGUGAGUAACCUGCCCUUGACUUUGGGAUAACUUCAGGAAACUGGGGCUAAUACCGGAUAGGAGCUCCUGCUGCAUGGUGGGGGUUGGAAAGUUUCGGCGGUUGGGGAUGGACUCGCGGCUUAUCAGCUUGUUGGUGGGGCAGUGGCUUACCAAGGCUUUGACGGGUAGCCGGCCUGAGAGGGUGACCGGCCACAUUGGGACUGGGAUACGGCCCAGACUCCUACGGGAGGCAGCAGUGGGGAAUAUUGCACAAUGGGCGGAAGCCUGAUGCAGCAACGCCGCGUGCGGGAUGACGGCCUUCGGGUUGUAAACCGCUUUCGCCUGUGACGAAGCGUGAGUGACGGUAAUGGGUAAAGAAGCACCGGCUAACUACGUG
RNAcentral lists this ribosomal RNA (468 nucleotides) under uncultured bacterium. RNAcentral's name for it is "partial 16S ribosomal RNA". It matches the Rfam family "Bacterial small subunit ribosomal RNA", at positions 28 to 507 of the family's 1533-position model. The record is from RNAcentral.